CUUAGAGAUCUGAAAGGUUUUUAUCUACUUCUAAUUAUACCACUGAUUACCCCAAAAGUGUUUAAAAAUGUAUUUAUAUGCAUCUUUAUUAUGGUAAAAAUGAAGGAUAAAUAUUUGAAUUCCUCUUUCUUGCCACUGCAGCAUGAGGAACUGAGUGUGUUUUUCCUUAUUCUAAUUUCGCCUUAUCCUCAUUAUUCCAGCUUUUGUUAAUAUCUUGGCAUUUUUCUUUUUAAAAUUAUAAUUUAAAAAUUACUGUUUAUACAGUGUCUAUUUUCUCUUUCAGCAAUUAUUUUAACACUUGAAUUUAGUUUUUGUUCCCAUUGUUAUAUGAGCCACUUAGACUUGACAUUAUAGUUUCAAUGUUCAUUGGAAGGCUUAUUAAAAGCUUACUUUCUGUAUUGGGUUCUUAAUUUUUAUUCAUAUUUUACUUAGCUGGAGAAUAACUUCAAGUAAUUUUUUAAAAAUAAGGACCUGUGAGUGGUUUAUAUUCUGUGACAGUGUACCUCUGAGAAUGACUUUUUGUUUUCUUUAUACAUAUGAGUAACAAAUUAUUUGAGAGUCAAAUUAUUUAGUCAAAAAACUUUUUCUAGGGCCAGCCCAAUGGUGUAGUGGUUGGGUUUGCAUGCUCUGCCUCAGCAACCCAGGGUUUAUGGGUUCAGAUCAUGAGUGUGGACCAAUAUACCACUCAUUAAGCCAUGCUGUGGCAGCAUCCCACAUACAAAAUAGAGAAAGACUGGCACAGAUGUUAGCUCAGUGCCAAUCUUCCUCACCAAAAAUAACCCACCCAUUUUUCUCCUAAAAACUCUGUUGGUGUUGCUUCACAGUUCUCUGACAUUUAGCAAUAGAGAGGACACUCUGUUGCUUUUUGUACAUAAUUUGUGCAAUUUUUUUCCUAUAUCCUUAUAAUUCAACAGUAUUAUAGGAGAUAUCUUAGUGUGGGUCUCUUUUUUUUUUUUAUCUUGCCUGAUAAUUUAAAUACAAGUCUUUGCAUAUCACUUUGGUUCCAGUUGUAGUGAUUUCUUCUGUAGGUAUACCUAUAAUUCUCAUGGGUGACUUAUCUUCUGUGUCUUUUAUUUCUUUCUUGUCUAUCAUCUUUUGAAUACCAUUGUCCUUUUCUUCCACAUUCUUGGAAAGCUGCUCAGGUUUGCCCUUCAUCAGCAAAGAUGGUGCUUCCAUGAACAGUGCUAAACCUCUCCUUUUACUUUCAGUGCAAAUUUUAAUUCUGCUGCUACCAUUUUGCUCUCUGCAGUCCUUAUCUCCCACAACCCAUUUUCAUCUCAUGAUAUUUUUUAAUCUCAUUAUUUCCAUUUUCUUUCUCCACAGAGACAUGUCUGCUUGCCAUGGUUUCUGAUUUCUGAUGGAUACAGAGGGAGCUGUUGCACCAAUGUAAUUUCCAGGGACACUUUUUUCCUGAUGGGGCAGCAAGAGCUUUUGGGGGCCAUACAAGUGUAAGACAAUGAAACAAGGAAGAAUUCUUUGGCUUGCCUCUCUCCUUCCCUUCCCCAGGAAGCAAAGCCAGCUGGUGCAGGAGUCUGAGGCAUCAACUAUAAAAGUUCUACUGGCUUCUGCUUGUCUGCAAAGCAUUCUGGUCUUUGACGAAAAGGUGCAUUAAUUAGGCCUGCUCCCGGCACUCCCUACCCCAUGCAGCAUAGUUCCUCCUACAGCGCUCCCUGCCCACUCCUCUGGGGAGGAGCUGGCCAGGAGAAGGAACUUCAAUUUCGCAGUCAGUUUCUAGCCAAGUCCUCCUUGAAGAGCUACAGAGUCCUCUGUGCACCCGGGGAAAGGUGAAGGUUAGAGACCACCCUACCAAUAGCAAAUGCAGCCUGGGAGGUGCCUUUGGCUUUUCAAAGGCCCUGUAAGGGCUGCAUGCAGCUUGCAUGGUUGAAAAGGCAUCUUUAUUUCUUAAAAUUGAGAGCUACUGUUUUUGGAAUUGCUAGAUUCCCAUUGUAGUAAAAGACUUUUCUUCCAUUUUGGUUUCAACCAUCACAAAAGAUAGGAAUCUCAAGAAGAUUGUAGGAAGACAGAGCAGAAAGUGACAUGGGAGGGGUGUACUGUCACUCUGUAAGAGAUUCCCAAAGACAGAAAGUAGAACCAGUGCCUGAAGGGUUUUGCUGAGCCAUUAUGUUUAAGGCUUUUCUGACACUAUUACAAGUGUACUUAUGAAAACACUUUUUAUUGAUCUUAUAGUCCUUUUAAAUUUUUUAAAAAUCAAAGUUAUACAUGUAUGUAGUUUAAAAAGCCAAUUAGUGCUAUGAGGUUUAUAAUGAAAAUCAGCAUUUUCUGCCUCACCUUCCCAAUCUCUUCUCACUCCUGGUUCAACUUUUAGCCAUUCUUAGUUCUUUUCAAAGGUCUUUCACAUUUUUGGAGACUGAGGAGUCUAUUUAUUUUCUUUUUGUUUGUUUUGUUUUGUUUUGUUUUGAGGAGGAUCAGCCGUGAGCUAACAUCUGCUGCCAAUCUUCCUCUUUUUUUUUUGCUGAGGAAGACUGGCCCUGAGCUAACAUCCACGCCCAUCUUCCUCCACUUUAUAUGUGGGACGCAUACCACAGCAUGGCUUGCCAAGUGGUGCCAUGUCCACACCCGGGAUCCAAACCAGCGAACCCCAGGCUGCCGAAGCGGAAGCAAAUUGCUGUGUUGGAGAGGACUCAUGGCAAGGAACAAGGGUGGUCUCUUACCAACAGCCGAUGAAGAACUGAAGCCUUUAGUCCCACUGAAGGCGUGAGGAACUGAAUCCUGCAACAAUCACAGGAGUGAGGCCGGAAGGAGACCUUUACCCAGUCAGGCUACGAGAUGAAGGCAGCCCUGUUUGUCGCCUUGACUGCAGCCUUGUCAGACACCCUGAGCCAGAGGACUCAACUAAGGUGCAUCUGGAUUCCUGACCCACAGAAACUGUGGGAUAAUAAACGUUUGUUGUUUUAAGCCACUAA
Long non-coding RNA from Equus caballus (horse), 2924 nucleotides. NCBI's taxonomy places the organism in Eukaryota, Metazoa, Chordata, Mammalia, Perissodactyla, Equidae. The record is from Ensembl.